CUCCCUUUCAGAUUCAACUCCAAGAAAAACUUGCCCACGCACCUUGCCUCCAUUUCCUGGCCUCCCACUCACUUCUCAAUCCCAGGCAAUCUGGCUUCCACCCCAUUACUCAAAUGAAACUGCUUUCUCCAAGGUUACCAAUGAUCUGAGCGGCUAAUUCCAAAGGCCUUUUCUUAAUCUCAUUUUAGUUGACCUCCAUAGCUUCAGACACUGUCAACCACUCGCUUUUUGGACAUGCUCUUCCCUCUUGGUUUCCAUGACUCUCUUAGGUCCUCCUCUUAGCAUUCUUUUCCUUUUCAACUUCUUUGCUAGAGCAUGUCUCCCAACACCUAACUGUAAAUAUUCCAUAAGGCUCUGUCCUGUGCCCUCUGUUGUAGUCAGUCAGGAGGCCCUGGAUUUGAAUACUUUAGACAUCUAUUAGUCUUAUGAUCCUGGGCAGGUCAUUUCACCACUUAGCAUCCUUGUGAACCUGUCAACAGGGAAUCUAGAAGCCCUCAAACUUGUAGCCUAGAAAGAUUUAAACCUGAGGCUUUCUCCUUGUCACCUGAGAGUUCCUCCCUGAGGGAAGUCCUACUUCAUCAGUCUCAUACUAACAGUAGACCCUGAGUUAUAGCGCAGUAGUAUCAGUCUCAGUGGCAUCAGUCUCAUAAGCCAAAGGUCCUGAGUUCGAUCCUUGAAAGGGAAAGGGGGAUGUGAUACAAGAAUCUUCUAAAGCAAAAAGAGGCAUCUGAUGGGAUUAGUCUUCUCCACUCUGAACUAAUUUAAGGAGGAACUCUCAUAUGACAAGCUCCAUGAUCCCAAACAUGGAUUUGGAAGGAAAGGCAGCAGAUAACACUCUGCUCCCCACCAAUGACAACCUCAGAAGCCCUGAAAAGGAAGAAGCAUUUCUUGCACAUGAUGGAGAUGGAACAUUUUUCAAUACAAAAAGGAAAGUGCAGAUGCUGGGUUACCAAAGAAUCAUUCAUUUGGAGAGGCAUUUGUUACCAGAUGAAGGAACUGAAUGUCUUGGAGAAACUGAUCAAGUCUCAUUUUGUAGUAUCCUUUAAUUCAAAAGCUCUCAUUCCAAUUGCUGCAGUGAGUGGCUAUAAUUUACCAUGUCCUCCCCUACUCAAAAAUUCAACAUUACCAUCUAUUGUCACUAGGAUAAAAUGUAAAUUCCGGAGUCUGGUAUUUAAAGACUGGUAUUUAAAGCUGACUCUCAUCAAUUUGUCCAAGUUUUUUUUUCUUUUAAAUAAUACUUCCUUUCACAUGUUCCUUGCUUUAGCCAAACUGACUUGCUGUUCACUAUACAAGAUAUUCCAUUUCCUACCUCCAUGCUUCUGCAUGAUUGUCUUCUAUGUCUAUAAUCCACAUUCAACACUUCCACCUUACCUCCUUUAAAGCAUGGUUUAGGUGCUCUGUCCCACACAAAAUUCCCGAUUCCCCUAGUUGCUGGUACUGUCCCCCACUGAAAGUACUUUAUAUUUACAUAUCUGUGUAUAUGUUGUAUCUUCUCAGUAGAGCUUCUGGAUGGUGAGGAUGGUUUUAUUUUUGUCUUAGUAUCUUCAGCGCCUACCACAGGGCUUGGCACACAACAGACACAAUAAUCUUUUGCUCAGUCAAUCUGAAUUAUUCAAAAGAAUUUCAAAAAUAUU
This 1634-nucleotide long non-coding RNA is filed under the name Monodelphis domestica (gray short-tailed opossum). RNAcentral's name for it is "lncRNA (ENSMODG00000033068.2)". The record is from RNAcentral. Lineage: Eukaryota; Metazoa; Chordata; Mammalia; Didelphimorphia; Didelphidae.